GUUAUGGCUCAGCGGUAGAGCGCUCGCCUCACACGUGCAAGGCCCUGGGUUCUAUCCUCAGCAUCACA
Molecule: transfer RNA, 68 nt
Filed under: Marmota monax (woodchuck)
Lineage: Eukaryota; Metazoa; Chordata; Mammalia; Rodentia; Sciuridae
Description: tRNA.Val
Source: RNAcentral